GUGCUCACUUUGGCAGCAUAUAUACUAAAGUUGAAAUGAUACAGAGAAGAUUAUGAUUUCCCCUAAGCAAGGAUAAUACACAAAUUCAUGAAGCAUUCCACAUUUUU
Talpa occidentalis (Iberian mole) is the source of this 107-nucleotide small nuclear RNA. NCBI's taxonomy places the organism in Eukaryota, Metazoa, Chordata, Mammalia, Eulipotyphla, Talpidae. The record is from RefSeq and is a predicted model, not a curated record.